GCCUACGGGGGGCAGCAGUAGGGAAUCUUCCACAAUGGGCGAAAGCCUGAUGGAGCAACGCCGCGUGGGUGAAGAAGGUCUUCGGAUCGUAAAACCCUGUUGUUAGAGAAGAAAGUGCGUGAGAGUAACUGUUCACGUUUCGACGGUAUCUAACCAGAAAGCCACGGCUAACAACGUGCCAGCAGCCGCGGUAAUGCGUAGGUGGCAAGCGUUAUCCGGAUUUAUUGGGCGUAAAGGGAACGCAGGCGGUCUUUUAAGUCUGAUGUGAAAGCCUUCGGCUUAACCGGAGUAGUGCAUUGGAAACU
This 305-nucleotide ribosomal RNA is filed under the name uncultured bacterium. RNAcentral's name for it is "bacterial SSU rRNA". It matches the Rfam family "Bacterial small subunit ribosomal RNA", at positions 337 to 634 of the family's 1533-position model. The record is from RNAcentral.